This 441-nucleotide small RNA is filed under the name Pan troglodytes (chimpanzee). RNAcentral describes it as "processed transcript". Lineage: Eukaryota; Metazoa; Chordata; Mammalia; Primates; Hominidae. The record is from RNAcentral.
AGUCCCAGCUGCGCGCGCCCCCCAGUCCCGCACCCGUUCGGCCCAGGCUAAGUUAGCCCUCACCAUGCCGGUCAAAGGAGGCACCAAGUGCAUCAAAUACCUGCUGUUCGGAUUUAACUUCAUCUUCUGGCUUGCCGGGAUUGCUGUCCUUGCCAUUGGACUAUGGCUCCGAUUCGACUCUCAGACCAAGAGCAUCUUCGAGCAAGAAACUAAUAAUAAUAACUCCAGCUUCUACACAGGUGAGGGACGGGGAAGGCUCAGUGAAUUCAGACCCUGGCUCCAACAAAGUUCCUGCAACUUUGGAGGCCCCAUGUUGACCCAGGGACUUGGGCUUGGGAAAGACUUUUGCUCUAGCCACGCUGUUCAGUCGUGUCCCUUUCAGGUUGUGCAGUUUUUGUGUGUGUCGUUGUGCCUGGGAAUUUGCGUUUAACUGAUGUGGUU